GUUGAAUCCAGAACAUCUUUAAUGUUGAAAUCUCCUCGCUCUGGCAAUGGGAAGCUCAAAGAAGGAAAUGAAAGUUGAAAGCUAGCCAGCAACUGCACAAACAUUAGCCAAUGAUAUGUUUCCUAACUUUUGUAUGGAGUUCCCGAAAGUUUGGAUUAGAUUUCCCUUUACCUUGGAAGGAGGUGGGGAAAAGAAGUCAUAGUGGGGUCCAAGAGGCUGCUAAGAUUGAUUUGCCAAGGCCUUCUCCUUUGGCUGCCCUAGGCCUGGCCAUUGAUUUCCAAGGCUGAAAUGGGUAAUCGGUGGCUGUCCAACGGGGCUGAAACAACAAUUCCAGCAGCACAGUAGCUGGUGCUUGUCAGGUUCAUCUCAGGAAGGAAACGAGGAGAAUUUCCAGCAACAGUUCUCUUAGAAAUUCAUAUUCAUGUGGGGUCUCCAAGAUGCCCCAGUCAACUAAUUGUAUGAUAGCCUGUAACCUAUCCAUAUCUUUAAUGUUAUUGAUUGAUUCCAUUUAUUAAAAAUAAAAAUAGAAAACUUUCCUC
Molecule: long non-coding RNA, 539 nt
Organism: Dendrobium catenatum
Lineage: Eukaryota; Viridiplantae; Streptophyta; Magnoliopsida; Asparagales; Orchidaceae
Exons: 2
Source: RefSeq, a predicted model, not a curated record